RNAcentral lists this ribosomal RNA (2925 nucleotides) under Klebsiella pneumoniae. RNAcentral's name for it is "bacterial LSU rRNA". It matches the Rfam family "Bacterial large subunit ribosomal RNA". Lineage: Bacteria; Pseudomonadati; Pseudomonadota; Gammaproteobacteria; Enterobacterales; Enterobacteriaceae. The record is from RNAcentral.
GGGUUGUGAGGUUAAGCGACUAAGCGUACACGGUGGAUGCCCUGGCAGUCAGAGGCGAUGAAGGACGUGCUAAUCUGCGAAAAGCGUCGGUAAGGUGAUAUGAACCGUUACAGCCGGCGAUGUCCGAAUGGGGGAAACCCAGUGCAAUUCGUUGCACUAUCGUUAACUGAAUACAUAGGUUAACGAGGCGAACCGGGGGAACUGAAACAUCUAAGUACCCCGAGGAAAAGAAAUCAACCGAGAUUCCCCCAGUAGCGGCGAGCGAACGGGGAGCAGCCCAGAGUCUGAAUCAGCUUGUGUGUUAGUGGAACGGUCUGGAAAGUCCGACGGUACAGGGUGAUAGUCCCGUACACCAAAAUGCACAGGUUGUGAACUCGAAGAGUAGGGCGGGACACGUGGUAUCCUGUCUGAAUAUGGGGGGACCAUCCUCCAAGGCUAAAUACUCCUGACUGACCGAUAGUGAACCAGUACCGUGAGGGAAAGGCGAAAAGAACCCCGGCGAGGGGAGUGAAAAAGAACCUGAAACCGUGUACGUACAAGCAGUGGGAGCACCUUCGGGUGUGACUGCGUACCUUUUGUAUAAUGGGUCAGCGACUUAUAUUCUGUAGCAAGGUUAACCGUAUAGGGGAGCCGCAGGGAAACCGAGUCUUAACUGGGCGUUAAGUUGCAGGGUAUAGACCCGAAACCCGGUGAUCUAGCCAUGGGCAGGUUGAAGGUUGGGUAACACUAACUGGAGGACCGAACCGACUAAUGUUGAAAAAUUAGCGGAUGACUUGUGGCUGGGGGUGAAAGGCCAAUCAAACCGGGAGAUAGCUGGUUCUCCCCGAAAGCUAUUUAGGUAGCGCCUCGUGAACUCAUCUUCGGGGGUAGAGCACUGUUUCGGCUAGGGGGUCAUCCCGACUUACCAACCCGAUGCAAACUACGAAUACCGAAGAAUGUUAUCACGGGAGACACACGGCGGGUGCUAACGUCCGUCGUGAAGAGGGGAAACAACCCAGACCGCCAGCUAAGGUCCCAAAGUCAUGGUUAAGUGGGAAACGAUGUGGGAAGGCACAGACAGCCAGGAUGUUGGCUUAGAAGCAGCCAUCAUUUAAAGAAAGCGUAAUAGCUCACUGGUCGAGUCGGCCUGCGCGGAAGAUGUAACGGGGCUAAACCAUGCACCGAAGCUGCGGCAGCGACACUAUGUGUUGUUGGGUAGGGGAGCGUUCUGUAAGCCUGCGAAGGUGACCUGUGAGGGUUGCUGGAGGUAUCAGAAGUGCGAAUGCUGACAUAAGUAACGAUAAAGCGGGUGAAAAGCCCGCUCGCCGGAAGACCAAGGGUUCCUGUCCAACGUUAAUCGGGGCAGGGUGAGUCGACCCCUAAGGCGAGGCCGAAAGGCGUAGUCGAUGGGAAACAGGUUAAUAUUCCUGUACUUGGUGUUACUGCGAAGGGGGGACGGAGAAGGCUAUGUUAGCCGGGCGACGGUUGUCCCGGUUUAAGCAUGUAGGCUGGUUGUCCAGGCAAAUCCGGAUAAUCAAGGCUGAGGUGUGAUGACGAGGCACUACGGUGCUGAAGUAACAAAUGCCCUGCUUCCAGGAAAAGCCUCUAAGCAUCAGGUAACAUCAAAUCGUACCCCAAACCGACACAGGUGGUCAGGUAGAGAAUACCAAGGCGCUUGAGAGAACUCGGGUGAAGGAACUAGGCAAAAUGGUGCCGUAACUUCGGGAGAAGGCACGCUGGUGUGUAGGUGAAGUCCCUGCGGAUGGAGCUGAGACCAGUCGAAGAUACCAGCUGGCUGCAACUGUUUAUUAAAAACACAGCACUGUGCAAACACGAAAGUGGACGUAUACGGUGUGACGCCUGCCCGGUGCCGGAAGGUUAAUUGAUGGGGUUAUCCGUAAGGAGAAGCUCUUGAUCGAAGCCCCGGUAAACGGCGGCCGUAACUAUAACGGUCCUAAGGUAGCGAAAUUCCUUGUCGGGUAAGUUCCGACCUGCACGAAUGGCGUAAUGAUGGCCAGGCUGUCUCCACCCGAGACUCAGUGAAAUUGAACUCGCUGUGAAGAUGCAGUGUACCCGCGGCAAGACGGAAAGACCCCGUGAACCUUUACUAUAGCUUGACACUGAACAUUGAGCCUUGAUGUGUAGGAUAGGUGGGAGGCUUUGAAGCGUGGACGCCAGUCUGCGUGGAGCCAACCUUGAAAUACCACCCUUUAAUGUUUGAUGUUCUAACGUUGGCCCCUUACCGGGGUUGCGGACAGUGUCUGGUGGGUAGUUUGACUGGGGCGGUCUCCUCCCAAAGCGUAACGGAGGAGCACGAAGGUUAGCUAAUCCUGGUCGGACAUCAGGAGGUUAGUGCAAUGGCAUAAGCUAGCUUGACUGCGAGCGUGACGGCGCGAGCAGGUGCGAAAGCAGGUCAUAGUGAUCCGGUGGUUCUGAAUGGAAGGGCCAUCGCUCAACGGAUAAAAGGUACUCCGGGGAUAACAGGCUGAUACCGCCCAAGAGUUCAUAUCGACGGCGGUGUUUGGCACCUCGAUGUCGGCUCAUCACAUCCUGGGGCUGAAGUAGGUCCCAAGGGUAUGGCUGUUCGCCAUUUAAAGUGGUACGCGAGCUGGGUUUAGAACGUCGUGAGACAGUUCGGUCCCUAUCUGCCGUGGGCGCUGGAGAAUUGAGGGGGGCUGCUCCUAGUACGAGAGGACCGGAGUGGACGCAUCACUGGUGUUCGGGUUGUCAUGCCAAUGGCACUGCCCGGUAGCUAAAUGCGGAAGAGAUAAGUGCUGAAAGCAUCUAAGCACGAAACUUGCCCCGAGAUGAGUUCUCCCUGAGACUUUAAGUCUCCUGAAGGAACGUUAAAGACGAUGACGUUGAUAGGCCGGGUGUGUAAGCGCAGCGAUGCGUUGAGCUAACCGGUACUAAUGAACCGUGAGGCUUAACCUUACAACGCCGAAG